GACGAACGCUGGCGGCGUGCCUAAUACAUGCAAGUCGAGCGGAUGAGAAAGGAGCUUGCUCCUUUCGAUUCAGCGGCGGACGGGUGAGUAACACGUGGGCAACCUGCCUGUAAGACUGGGAUAACUCCGGGAAACCGGGGCUAAUACUGGAUAACUCAUGAGACUGCAUAGUCUGAUGAUAAAAGAUGGUUAUGCUAUCACUUACAGAUGGGCCCGCGGCGCAUUAGCUAGUUGGUGAGGUAACGGCUCACCAAGGCGACGAUGCGUAGCCGACCUGAGAGGGUGAUCGGCCACACUGGGACUGAGACACGGCCCAGACUCCUACGGGAGGCAGCAGUAGGGAAUCUUCCGCAAUGGACGAAAGUCUGACGGAGCAACGCCGCGUGAGCGAUGAAGCCUUCGGGUCGUAAAGCUCUGUUGUUAGGGAAGAACAAGUAUGAGUUAACUGCUCAUACCGUGGACGGGACCUAACGAAAAAGCCACGGCUAACUUACGUGCCACCAGCCGCGGUAAUACGUANGUGGCAAGCGUUGUCCGGAUUUUAUUGGGCGUAAAGCGCGCGCA
This 564-nucleotide ribosomal RNA is filed under the name uncultured bacterium. RNAcentral's name for it is "bacterial SSU rRNA". It matches the Rfam family "Bacterial small subunit ribosomal RNA", at positions 28 to 573 of the family's 1533-position model. The record is from RNAcentral.